This is a long non-coding RNA of Mastomys coucha (southern multimammate mouse), 584 nucleotides long. RefSeq lists it as uncharacterized. The record is from RefSeq and is a predicted model, not a curated record. The transcript has 3 exons. Lineage: Eukaryota; Metazoa; Chordata; Mammalia; Rodentia; Muridae.
GGGCACAGCUCAGACCCCACCCCCGCAAGGCUCUCCGCUCAGCCCUGACAGCGAGCAGGGGGAGUGGUGUCUUCUUUAACUGAUCUUUGCUCACCAACCGAUCAAAAAUCAAGCCCUGUUAUUUAAAAUCCGAUUUCCUGGGAAGCCCUCACGUGGGUCCUUUGGGACUGAGGACGUAAGAGGUUGCCUUGAGUCUCAGAAGAGACUUUGGACUUUUGAAGUGUUAAACUGUUAAAAGACUAUGGGGACUUUUGAAGUUGGACUGCAUAGCUUUGUACCAUGAGAUGGCCAUGAACUCAUGUGGUCCAGAGGCCAACUGUAGAGGUCUAGUCAGCUGGACAUGUUCAGUCUGUUAUUUUCUUUCUCUGCUCCAGUUUCUUCCAGAUGUCUCUGGCUGUUGUCUUUCACAUCUAAACAAAAACCUUCUGCUCAACCAUACCAUGGAGCAGUCAUGUUGUCAGUUUACACAAUAAAUAUCUGCUGUAUUAUGGGCUGGAAUGAUAGCUCAGUGAUUAAGAGCACUUGCUGCUCUUGCAGGGAGCCAAGGUUUGAAUCUUAGCACCCACACUGGACAGUUCAUACCU